UACGAAGGGGGCUAGCGUUGUUCGGAUUUACUGGGCGUAAAGCGCACGUAGGUGGGUUGUUAAGUCAGGGGUGAAAUCCUGGAGCUCAACUCCAGAACUGCCUUUGAUACUGGCAACCUAGAGGCUGGAAGAGGUUAGUGGAAUUCCCAGUGUAGAGGUGAAAUUCGUAGAUAUUGGGAAGAACACCAGUGGCGAAGGCGGCUAACUGGUCCAGAUCUGACGCUGAGGUGCGAAAGCGUGGGGAGCAAACAGG
Molecule: ribosomal RNA, 253 nt
Filed under: uncultured bacterium
Lineage: Bacteria
Description: partial 16S ribosomal RNA
Rfam family: Bacterial small subunit ribosomal RNA
Source: RNAcentral